This 337-nucleotide unclassified non-coding RNA is filed under the name soil metagenome. RNAcentral's name for it is "partial contains 5.8S ribosomal RNA, internal transcribed spacer 2, and large subunit ribosomal RNA". The stretch from base 1 to 120 matches the Rfam family "5.8S ribosomal RNA", at positions 35 to 154 of the family's 154-position model. The record is from RNAcentral.
GAUGAAGAACGUAGCGAAAUGCGAUAAGUAGUGUGAAAUGCAGAAUUCAGUGAAUCAUCGAAUCUUUGAACGCACAUUGCGCCCCUUGGUAUUCCAUGGGGCAUGCCUGUUCGAGCGUCAUUUGUACCUUCAAGCUUUGCUUGGUGUUGGGUGUUUGUCUCGCCUCCGCGUGUAGACUCGCCUCAAAACAAUUGGCAGCCGGCGUAUUGAUUUCGGAGCGCAGUACAUCUCGCGCUUUGCACUCACAACGACGACGUCCAAAAGUACAUUUUUACACUCUUGACCUCGGAUCAGGUAGGGAUACCCGCUGAACUUAAGCAUAUCAAUAAGCGGAGGA